RNAcentral lists this ribosomal RNA (3031 nucleotides) under Zasmidium angulare. RNAcentral describes it as "bacterial LSU rRNA". It matches the Rfam family "Bacterial large subunit ribosomal RNA", at positions 1 to 2505 of the family's 2925-position model. Lineage: Eukaryota; Fungi; Ascomycota; Dothideomycetes; Mycosphaerellales; Mycosphaerellaceae. The record is from RNAcentral.
UAUAUAAUGUACAUGUAGAAACAUUUAAUUAUAUUUACAAUUAAUUGUAGUUAAUUAAUUAUUACCACUAUAUAUAAUAUAUAAAUUUAUAUAAAUAGUUUUAUUCUUGUAUUAAGUUUAAGGUUACAAUAAAGCAUUAUAUUUAUUUAUUACAUGUUUAUUAUUUUGCGUUAAAUAUAGUUUUCCACUUAAUAAAAAUAUUUUGUCUUAAUUAAUAUUUUACAUUAAUAAUAUGUUUGAUAUGUAAUGUAAUAUUUCAUCUAUUUGAUGUGAAGUAUAUAAAGAAACUAUUAUGGAAAAUUUAGCAAUGUAUUACAGAAAAAAAUUAUAUUUGGUAUAUACCAACUAAGCUCUUUGAUAAAUCAAAUUUGGAAACGAAGUUAAUUGAAAUAUCUUACUAGCUUCAGGAAAAUAAAUCAAAUGAGAUUUUCUUUUUAAUUAAAUAUUAAUAAGAAAACAGCCUUUAAAGUAAAAUGGAUAGACUCUGUUUGAAUAUAGGGAAACCUUUCUCUAAGGCUAAAUAUGAUACAUUAGCGACAGUGAAUAGUACCGUAAGGGAAAUAUUUGAAAUAGUAGGUUUAUAAGCAGCUCAAAUUUAAACUAAUAAACAAACGAGAGCGUACCUUUUGCAUAAUGGGUCAGCAAGUUAAUAUUAGGUGCGAGAUUAAGUUAAUGCUUAAUCCUAGACAAACCAAUUAUUAAAUAAUGAAUUAGUACCUAGUAUUAGACCCGAAGCCUAGUGAUCUUACCAUGAUCAGGGUUAUAAAAGCUCGAACAGGUUAUCGUUGUAAAGAUAUCUGAUGAAUUGUGGUAAGUUAGUGAAAGACAAAACUGACUAGGAUAGCUGGUUUUCUGCGAAACCUAUAUAAGUAGGUAGUUUAAAUAAUAUCAUUACAGGUACAGAAUUGUGAUCUCAGAUAAAUUAUAACCUAUAUAUUAAAAGUAUAUGGUUAGUUUAUAUACAUUGGGGAAUCGUGAAGAUUUUAUCAGUGAGAAUUUGCUCUCGGAAGGGUAAUGAUAGAUAUUAAAUUGUCAGACAUAGUACGAUAAGGUUGUAUGUCUAAAGGGAAACAGCCCAGAACAAGAGUUAAGGUUCCAAAAUUAUUGUUAAGUGAAAUUAAGGGAGUUUUUUUCAAAUACAACCAGGAAAUAGGCUUAGAAGCGGCCAUUUUUUAAAGAUCUCGUAACAGAGCACUGGUUUAUAAAUGUAAGAGUAAAGAAUACAAAGUUUAUAAAGAUACCAGGUAUGGUGAGCAAUUGUAGAAAAACAAUCGCAACUCCAAUUUACAAAUGUGACGUUCACAGGACACAGGAUGGAGAUAAAUAAACUAUAAAGUUAAACGCACCGAAAAUUUAACGGAUCUAAACAAUAUACCGAAACCUUGUGCACAAAUAAAACUUGUGGUAAAAAAUUAUCAAGUUUAUAUCUGUGAGGUAGCAGAACGUUGAGUUGUUUAAGAUUUAGUAUCAUUGAUACUAAUACCUGUCUUACCCAAAUAUUAGAGUAAAAUGACUAAUAAUUAUUUUACCCAAACAUUAGAGUAAAAUGAAAACAAUCUCAAGUGAGAAUGCUGACAUGAGUAACGAAAAAGGGAAUAUCCCCUCGCCUUAAGCUUAUGGUAUUAUAUUUAAUUGCGGCCCCUAAGUUUAUUAAUCUUACCUAAAGGAUUGAAUGAUGGGAAAAUAAUUGUUUAUUUUAAUUUUAUAUUACAACCUUUUAGGUUCUGGAAAAACAUAUAUUAUACAAAACCGUACCUAGAAACUACCUCAAGUAAGCAAGUAGAGUAUACAAAGGCGUUUGAGAUAACAAUCAUUAAGGAACUCGGCAAAUUGACACCGUAACUUAGGGAUAAGGUGUGCCAUUAUAUUAUGACAAAAUAGAAAUAUAUGAAUUUGCCAUACAUAUAAUAGGAGACAUAGAAUGGUGUUGUACGACUGUUUAAUUAAAACAAAGCACUUUGCAUAAGAUAUAAAUCAAAGUAUUGAGUGUGAUUUCUGCCCGAUGUUGGCUGGUUAACGGACUUUCUUAACAUAAAUUAUAUGUUAGGUUUUGAAGGAAACCCCAAUCAAUGGCGGCCUUACCGAUGAGGGUCCUAAGGUAGCGGAAUACCCUGGCCGUUAAAUGCGGUCUUGCAUGAAUGAUUUAACGAUACAACAGCUGUCUCGAUGAUUGUCUCAGUGAAAUUGGAAUAACUGUGCAGAUACAGUUUUCUUCUAGUUAGACGAGAAGACCCUAUGCAGCUUUACUAUUUGUAGUUAUUGAAUAUGAUAUAACAAGUUGUAGAGUAUAAGGUAAUUGAUAAUUUAACAUUGAAACACCUUUACUUAGUGUAUCAUAUUAUUAGGAAAAAGAUCUAAAAAAACUUGAUUUUUUGGCCUAGUAGCUUAACUUUAAGAAAUAGCAUGUAUAUGUUUAUAUACAUAAGUGACACUGACUAUUAGAUAGUUUAUGCGGGGCACAGAUCCCAUAAAAAGUACCUGGGUGUAUCCAAAGUUAAUAUUGUAAAUUUAUUUUUUAUGAUUUAGUUUUUUUGUUGCUUUGUCUUAUAUUAAUACAAAUGCUAACAAUAAAAUUAUACAUUUUAAUUUGUAAUAGAUUAUAAUUUAAUCUAUUCAACUAUAAUUCUAUUAAGUUAGAUUAAUUAUAUUUUUUAAGUAAGGUUUUUACUAUAUGGAAAAUAGAUGUUAGAUAGUUAUUAUUAAAUAAAAUGACUAAAUUUGUUUCAGAGUGUAACUAUAAUCGUAAAAAUUAAACUUCCCAGCUGCUAGCUCGGUAUUAAUAUUACAAAUUCCAUUGGUUCAUUUCGCUCUAUUGAUUGCUUAUAAUAGUAUAAGUAUUAGUUACACCCUGGAAUGAAUAUUUAUAUAACUAAAAAAGUUUAAUGGCUUAACCUUGCUUUACUGUUUGACUUACAUGUCUAUCAGUCGCGUAAGCGGGGCAUACGAUCACAAGAUGCAGAAAGGAAAGGUCUUGGAUUUUUGAAAAAGCUACGCUAGGGAUAACAGGCUAAUUGCGCAAGAGAGUACAAAU